Molecule: ribosomal RNA, 447 nt
Filed under: Geobacillus sp. G08C009
Lineage: Bacteria; Bacillati; Bacillota; Bacilli; Caryophanales; Anoxybacillaceae
Description: bacterial SSU rRNA
Rfam family: Bacterial small subunit ribosomal RNA
Source: RNAcentral
GCGGCGGACGGGUGAGUAACACGUGGGCAACCUGCCCGCAAGACCGGGAUAACUCCGGGAAACCGGAGCUAAUACCGGAUAACACCGAAGACCGCAUGGUCUUUGGUUGAAAGGCGGCCUUUGGCUGUCACUUGCGGAUGGGCCCGCGGCGCAUUAGCUAGUUGGUGAGGUAACGGCUCACCAAGGCGACGAUGCGUAGCCGGCCUGAGAGGGUGACCGGCCACACUGGGACUGAGACACGGCCCAGACUCCUACGGGAGGCAGCAGUAGGGAAUCUUCCGCAAUGGGCGAAAGCCUGACGGAGCGACGCCGCGUGAGCGAAGAAGGCCUUCGGGUCGUAAAGCUCUGUUGUGAGGGACGAAGGAGCGCCGUUCGAAGAGGGCGGCGCGGUGACGGUACCUCACGAGAAAGCCCCGGCUAACUACGUGCCAGCAGCCGCGGUAAUAC